GCAGGGAUGGCAGAGCGGUCUAAUGCGCCAGUCUGGAAAGCUGGUCUCGAAAGAGGCGAGGGUUCGAACCCCUCUUUCUGCG
RNAcentral lists this transfer RNA (82 nucleotides) under Candidatus Diapherotrites archaeon CG08_land_8_20_14_0_20_30_16. Its description in RNAcentral is "tRNA-Ser". It matches the Rfam family "tRNA". Rfam says of the family: Transfer RNA (tRNA) molecules are approximately 80 nucleotides in length. The record is from RNAcentral. Lineage: Archaea; Nanobdellati; Candidatus Iainarchaeota.